GAUGAACGCUGGCGGCGUGCCUAACACAUGCCAGUCGAACGAAGCACCUUACCUGAUUCUUCGGAUGAAAGUUUGGUGACUGAGUGGCGGACGGGUGAGUAACGCGUGGGUAACCUGCCCUGUACAGGGGGAUAACAGCUGGAAACGGCUGCUAAUACCGCAUAAGCGCACGAGGAGACAUCUCCUUGUGUGAAAAACUCCGGUGGUACAGGAUGGGCCCGCGUCUGAUUAGCUGGUUGGCAGGGUAACGGCCUACCAAGGCAACGAUCAGUAGCCGGUCUGAGAGGAUGAACGGCCACAUUGGAACUGAGACACGGUCCAAACUCCUACGGGAGGCAGCAGUGGGGAAUAUUGCACAAUGGGGGAAACCCUGAUGCAGCAACGCCGCGUGAGUGAAGAAGUAUUUCGGUAUGUAAAGCUCUAUCAGCAGGGAAGAUAAUGACGGUACCUGACUAAGAAGCUCCGGCUAAAUACGUG
RNAcentral lists this ribosomal RNA (477 nucleotides) under uncultured bacterium. RNAcentral describes it as "partial 16S ribosomal RNA". It matches the Rfam family "Bacterial small subunit ribosomal RNA", at positions 28 to 507 of the family's 1533-position model. The record is from RNAcentral.